RNAcentral lists this ribosomal RNA (500 nucleotides) under uncultured bacterium. Its description in RNAcentral is "partial 16S ribosomal RNA". It matches the Rfam family "Bacterial small subunit ribosomal RNA", at positions 899 to 1397 of the family's 1533-position model. The record is from RNAcentral.
ACUCAAAUGAAUAGACGGGGGCUCGCACAAGCAGUGGAGCAUGCGGUUUAAUUCGAUGCUACGCGAAAAACCUUACCAACCCUUGACAUGGUGGUCGUAGCCCGCAGAGAUGUGGGCGUCAGUUCGGCUGGACCACACACAGGUGUUGCAUGGCUGUCGUCAGCUCGUGUCGUGAGAUGUUGGGUUAAGUCCCGCAACGAGCGAAACCCUCAUCCUUAUUUGCCAGCGGUUAGGCCGGGAACUAUAAGGAAACUGCCGGUGAUAAGCCGGAGGAAGGUGGGGAUGAUGUCAAGUCAUCAUGGCCCUUACGGGUUGGGCUACACGCGUGCUACAAUGGUAUCUACAGAGGGAAGCAAUACAGCGAUGUGGAGCGAAUCCUCAAAAGAUAUCUCAGUUCGGAUUGUUCUCUGCAACUCGAGAACAUGAAGCCGGAAUUGCUAGUAAUCGCGGAUCAGCAUGCCGCGGUGAAUACGUUCUCGGGCCUUGUACACACCGCCCGU